GUGCUUGCUUUAGAAGCACACAUACUAAAAUGGGAAUGAAAGAUUAUCAUGGCCCUUGUGCAAAGAUGGCAUGAAAAUUUGUGAAGCAUUCCAUAUUUUU
RNAcentral lists this small nuclear RNA (100 nucleotides) under Nannospalax galili (Upper Galilee mountains blind mole rat). The record is from RNAcentral. Lineage: Eukaryota; Metazoa; Chordata; Mammalia; Rodentia; Spalacidae.